RNAcentral lists this long non-coding RNA (2242 nucleotides) under Homo sapiens (human). Its description in RNAcentral is "non-protein coding lnc-FOXO6-5:1". The record is from RNAcentral. Lineage: Eukaryota; Metazoa; Chordata; Mammalia; Primates; Hominidae.
ACUCAUUACAGUCAGAUUCAUUCUUCAAUAGUGGAAGGAAAACCAAGUGCCCCAGAUUUCAAUAGGUUCAGAAGCCUGGAGAUGUCUCCCUCACCCACCUCAAAAGCGAAGCUAAUGGUUUCGUGCUAAGAGGCUGGCUCAACUGUCUAGCCCUGGCAAUAUUGGGACCAGUUGAUGGAGUAAGAAGUCACGAUGGAGUCUCUCUACCAUCUCCUCCUUCUCUCCAGCCAUGGCCAGGUUUGCGGAGGAAUCCAUAACAUGCUGAUGGGGAUACAGAAGCCCUUGGAAGCUCUCCAAGAUCACAGCCAAGGGGACCAUGAACUUCCCAGGACCCCCCCGCUGGAGGAUGAUGGAAAUGACCACACUCAUGCCAGGAUGGGGUCCGAGGCGCAGGAAGCUCCUCACAGAGAAGAUUCCUUUGUGCCCAUCUCUCCUGAUGAGAGUCUUGUCCCCAGGAAGGUCAAUAUUCCGAUGAAGUAGAAGAGGAGCAGCAUGAGGAAGAGGAAGAUGAUGAAGGUGACGAGGAUGUAGAGGAAAGAGAGGAUGCAGACAGAAACAUCGUCACAGAGCCACAGUAUCCUGCAGAGGCAGAGGCAGUGCAAGGGGAUGAUGGCAGGGAACAAAUUCCAGGGAUGAAGACAGAGCCGCCAACAUGGAAUGUGAAGCAUUUCAGCUUCCAAACUUUGACACUGAAUACAGUGCUGAAGAGCAGGCUUCAGUUCCUCCUAUGACACAUGAUCCGUAUGACACGGAGCUUGAACCACUCUUCCACUUUUAAAAUGGCUAUCAGUGGGAUGCAGGAUCAUGGUCCAGAUUAACAAUACGCAGGGGGCAAUAAAAGCCUCAGGAAAGUUAACCUAACUGUUAGGUUUCUAUCGGGAUAACGGAGGCGCAAAAUGGGUGACAUGUUUAGAAGAAACUCCAAGAUGAAGAAUAAAGGGGUUUGCUUAUCUGCACUUGACAAACAUGAAGCAGGAAUCCCUUGGUGAGAUGGUAGGCUGGACCAUGCGCACUAUAGAUCUGUAAGUAGCCCCUCACCUACCCGCUGCCUUAAAUGUCUGACCACUCAAAGUGGGGGCCAAAUUAGUGUCCUCACCAGCAGAAAGUGGGGUCGAGGAGUCAAGGCACAGCCACGAGCUGGCGUGAUUCAGCUCCUGCUCCUGCCUGCUGAUCCUGUCUCAUCUUCCCUUCAGUUCAAAGUACUUAAUGGUUUGGGCAGUUCUUAGCAUGACAGAUGGACAGAUGGUUUUCACGGAGGUAGGCAGGGUGAAAAAUGUGGUUCUGAAAAGCUUCCAGAGCUUGUAUGUAAAGAUCAGACUGUGAGAGUUGUCACUGCUGGCCCGGCUAUCCCUCAGGAAAGCCAUUUCUAUGAAAACUUGUCAGAGAUUAAAGGAGGUGGUAACCAGUUAGCAGAGAACACUUUGUCUCUUCCCAGUCACAUGUGGGUAACUGGCUGUGUAACCUAGGCCCAGGCCCUUGCCCUCUCUGGUCUCCAGCCACCUCACUGACUCUACAAGGCCUCAUAGCUCCAGGGGGUGAGCAUAGACCCCUCAACACCUGGGGGCUCCUUAUUUAGGUCCUUCCUGGUGUAUCCAUAUUGAGACUGGGGCUAGACCCUCUUGAGAGCUGCACAGUGAACCUGACCACAACCCAGAUGCUGGAAACGAGAAAGCAAGAUCAGAAUAGGGAAAUGAGGUGGAGGCUGCUAUAGACGUGGCUCUUUGGUCUCCUCCAAUGUAAGCGCAGGGGAAGUGGAGAUGCUUCUUCGCCGUGUUGAAAGUUUUUCGUUGACUGGGAUCAGCACCUCCUACAAUGGUCCAAUCUCCUGCUCAGUCUUUGUCAUGCUGUUCUCCUCAGGCCUUCAUAUCUUGGAGCUGGUGGCCUUGCUGUUGUUCAUUCCAGUCAUAAGGGCUCCUCCUGGUGCUGCAAGCCAUAAAGGAUUUUACAGGUCCUGACACAGCCACCAAAGGGUCGUCUUUAUCUUCUGUUGGAGUAGGAAGCAACACCUUUAUUGAUCAGAGCACCAUGCCACCUUUAUGAUCAAGAUGAAGAGGAACGUCUCUCCAGCCCCAAGGUAUGCCUGUACCUCGUGGCUAACUGGACCCCACACUGCUCAGCCAUUUUCUGCAUGGGAUAGACAGCAGCAGCCGCAAGAACACAAACGAACAUCUGUGAUCCUCUAGCACUACAGUGCAUUCUCCUCACUCCAGGACCUCCUCAUCCUUACUAGAAACCAGUGAGG